GACGAACGCUGGCGGCGUGCUUAACACAUGCAAGUCGAGCGGUAUGGCCCUUUCGGGGGUACACGAGCGGCGAACGGGUGAGUAACACGUGGGUGACCUGCCCUCAGCUCUGGGAUAAGCCUGGGAAACCGGGUCUAAUACUGGAUAUGACUCCAUGACGCAUGUUGUGGGGUGGAAAGCCUUGUGCGGCUGAGGAUGGGCCCGCGGCCUAUCAGCUUGUUGGUGGGGUGAUGGCCUACCAAGGCGACGACGGGUAGCCGGCCUGAGAGGGCGACCGGCCACACUGGGACUGAGACACGGCCCAGACUCCUACGGGAGGCAGCAGUGGGGAAUCUUGCGCAAUGGGCGAAAGCCUGACGCAGCGACGCCGCGUGAGGGAUGACGGCCU
RNAcentral lists this ribosomal RNA (388 nucleotides) under uncultured bacterium. Its description in RNAcentral is "bacterial SSU rRNA". It matches the Rfam family "Bacterial small subunit ribosomal RNA", at positions 28 to 417 of the family's 1533-position model. The record is from RNAcentral.